GACGAACGCUGGCGGCGUGCUUAACACAUGCAAGUCGAACGGAAAGGCCCUGCUUUUGUGGGGUGCUCGAGUGGCGAACGGGUGAGUAACACGUGAGUAACCUGCCCUUGACUUUGGGAUAACUUCAGGAAACUGGGGCUAAUACCGGAUAGGAGCUCCUGCUGCAUGGUGGGGGUUGGAAAGUUUCGGCGGUUGGGGAUGGACUCGCGGCUUAUCAGCUUGUUGGUUGGGUAGUGGCUUACCAAGGCUUUGACGGGUAGCCGGCCUGAGAGGGUGACCGGCCACAUUGGGACGGAGAUACGGCCCAGACUCCUACGGGAGGCAGCAGUGGGGAAUAUUGCACAAUGGGCGGAAGCCUGAUGCAGCAACGCCGCGUGCGGGAUGACGGCCUUCGGGUUGUAAACCGCUUUCGCCUGUGACGAAGCGUGAGUGACGGUAAUGGGUAAAGAAGCACCGGCUAACUACGUG
This 468-nucleotide ribosomal RNA is filed under the name uncultured bacterium. RNAcentral's name for it is "partial 16S ribosomal RNA". It matches the Rfam family "Bacterial small subunit ribosomal RNA", at positions 28 to 507 of the family's 1533-position model. The record is from RNAcentral.